RNAcentral lists this ribosomal RNA (560 nucleotides) under uncultured Glomus. RNAcentral's name for it is "SSU rRNA". It matches the Rfam family "Eukaryotic small subunit ribosomal RNA", at positions 546 to 1106 of the family's 1831-position model. The record is from RNAcentral. Lineage: Eukaryota; Fungi; Glomeromycota; Glomeromycetes; Glomerales; Glomeraceae.
AAUUGGAGGGCAAGUCUGGUGCCAGCAGCCGCGGUAAUUCCAGCUCCAAUAGCGUAUAUUAAAGUUGUUGCAGUCAAAAAGCUCGUAGUUGAAUUUCGGGAUCAAUAUUUCGGUCAUGCCGUUGGUAUGCACUGUUAUAAUUGAUUUCUCACCUUCUAAAGAACCGUAAUGCCAUUAAUUUGGUGUUACGGGGAAUUAGGACUGUUACCUUGAAAAAAUUAGAGUGUUUAAAGCAGGCUCACGCUUGAAUACAUUAGCAUGGAAUAAUGAAAUAGGACAUCCGAUUCUAUUUUGUUGGUUUCUAGGAUCGAUGUAAUGAUUAAUAGGGAUAGUUGGGGGCAUUAGUAUUCAAUUGUCAGAGGUGAAAUUCUUGGAUUUAUUGAAGACUAACUACUGCGAAAGCAUUUGCCAAGGAUGUUUUCAUUAAUCAAGAACGAAAGUUAGGGGAUCGAAGACGAUCAGAUACCGUCGUAGUCUUAACCAUAAACUAUGCCGACUAGGGAUCGGAUGAUGUUAAUUUUUUAAUGACUCAUUCGGCGCCUUACGGGAAACCAAAGUGU